RNAcentral lists this ribosomal RNA (229 nucleotides) under uncultured bacterium. Its description in RNAcentral is "partial 16S ribosomal RNA". It matches the Rfam family "Bacterial small subunit ribosomal RNA", at positions 568 to 796 of the family's 1533-position model. The record is from RNAcentral.
CGCGUAGGCGGUCUCGUUAGUCAGAUGUGAAAGCCCGGGGCUCAACCCCGGAAGUGCAUUUGAAACUAUGAGACUUGAGUAUGGGAGAGGGAAGUGGAAUUCCUGGUGUAGAGGUGAAAUUCGUAGAUAUCAGGAGGAACACCGGUGGCGAAGGCGACUUCCUGGACCAAUACUGACGCUGAGGCGCGAAGGCGUGGGGAGCAAACAGGAUUAGAUACCCUGGUAGUCC